RNAcentral lists this long non-coding RNA (317 nucleotides) under Glycine max (soybean). RNAcentral's name for it is "long non-coding RNA (GMAX_LNC003196)". Lineage: Eukaryota; Viridiplantae; Streptophyta; Magnoliopsida; Fabales; Fabaceae. The record is from RNAcentral.
GAGGGAUAGCGACUAGUGGAGGUUCUUCAUUAUAGCAGACGGCUCCUUAGACUAGGUUUAUAUACUUUUUUGGGGUGGGUGUAUCUAGUACAGACUGUUAGGUUUACUCUUUUGGUUUUUGUAUGGGUAGACCUAUUGUAUAGGAAUUUGAUGAUUGUAUACAUAUGGCUGAAGCCACCAUAGUGGAUACCUUUGCUUUGGAUGUCACUAUGUAUUUUGCAAAACUCCCAUAUUUUGGACAGCUUUAGAUGAUGAAUGUACUUAUGUUUAAUCUUGUUAUUUGAAAAGAAUGUGUUAACAAACUUUAUUUGAAAAAG